Long non-coding RNA from Fukomys damarensis (Damara mole-rat), 1572 nucleotides. RefSeq lists it as uncharacterized. Lineage: Eukaryota; Metazoa; Chordata; Mammalia; Rodentia; Bathyergidae. The transcript is spliced from 3 exons. The record is from RefSeq and is a predicted model, not a curated record.
UUCUAGUGUCUACUUCCUAGGCAGUUAGCACUGCCUUUUUUUUUCCCGCCAGGCUUAGAAUUCAUUAAUUGAGAAUGUCAGUUCACUUCAUUCUGCUUGGUUUUACCAGUGAAAAAUGGAAGGCAAUUAUUGGCAUAGAAAUACUUUAAUAAGCUUUAGAGCAAAAGGAGCUUUCGUUCAAAUUCCAGCACAACCACUUACUAUCUAAGGGACUUCAAACACUAAUCCAGGGUAGCCUCUCUUGUAAAGUGAAAAUAAACAUGUCACAUCACAGAAUUCUGGAGAUGUUUGAAUACCAUCCACAUCCCGACUGCAUUGAAGGACUCACCUGUCAGAACUCACAUUUCCACUCCACCCUUGGAGAUUUCCGCAACCACAAAGAUGUUCCGUGGAACAUGGAUGGAACCUCGAAUGUGGAACAAAGAUGCUCCUAGUAACUACUACGGCCAUAAUGACCUGCUUUACGGCAGACAUCAUGUUGGCGUGGGAUACAAAGACCAACAAGAUGGCGCUGCUCCCAGAUGACCAGCUGGAAGGCCACGGGCGUCGGGGGCGCCUCUCACAGGGACUGAUCAACUUCUGUGCAGACACAGGUGGGAUGCAGGAAUGCAAUGCAUAUGGCAUCCAUUAAACACCCCACAGAACCAUCUGCCCAGCGGCAAGCACUUGGGAAGAGGCCUUCUUGUACAGAGCUUUGCUGAGCAGGUGGUAGCUGCAACUUUGGCUUUCUGAGGAGUAGCAGUCCUGAGGCUGUGUACGAUGACAGUGGAGGUCACUCUUUGCGGUGUUCAGUAGGAGAGUGGUGACAGUGACCACAGUGAUGGGAAUGGUUUCUCUUCAGGCCCAUUCUGGGAUCAGGCCUGGGGGCUUUUUUCCCUGGACACUCAGUAUCGGAACCCCUGCCAACGUUUUUCAACGAAUUGCUGUUCUGAAUGCUGUACUUGGAGCCGUCCUCGACUGCUUUUAGGAACUCUGCCUGAGACAGUAGAGGAGAAGUGGUGACCGCGAUGAACACCCUGAACACCCUUCCCAAGUAUUUUCCCUGUCCUCUUCCAUGUUUAGUCAGGGUCAGGGCAUGUGACCAAAAAAAAAAAAAAAUACAGAGGAAAUAACUGUGUGGCUUCCCCAGGCUAGUUUAUGAAGAUGUAGCUUCUAGGUGGGCUUCCUGACCUUCUCUGGGGGACACCAGCCGACAACUUGUGAGAAAACUGAAGUAGCACUGUGGCAAUGCUAAAAUGAGGAGGACCCACUUGAGUGCUGCACGAGUGAGCCACCUCAGAGGGAUCUUCCUUUCUCCCUCACCGGUCAAUACACAGCUGCCCAACUGUGCUACCAAUGAACGCUUGACUCGCAGAUGCUGUGAAAGCAAGGAAAUAUGGUUAUGUUGAGCAACCAAGUCUUGUAAUAAUUUAUUAUGAAGCAGUAGCUAAACCGAAGCAUAGCAUUUGCAGAUGGUUUGUUUCUGUAGGGCAAGGGAAAACUGAACCUGUUCACAAUAAAAAGAAAGGGACAGAGCCCAUGUAGAGGAUUGCUGGUCUUCGAGAUGAACUAAGCAGAGCUCAGAGAGGGAGG